This 65-nucleotide transfer RNA is filed under the name Dipodomys ordii (Ord's kangaroo rat). It matches the Rfam family "tRNA". Rfam says of the family: Transfer RNA (tRNA) molecules are approximately 80 nucleotides in length. Their secondary structure includes four short double-helical elements and three loops (D, anti-codon, and T loops). Further hydrogen bonds mediate the characteristic L-shaped molecular structure. tRNAs have two regions of fundamental functional importance: the anti-codon, which is responsible for specific mRNA codon recognition, and the 3' end, to which the tRNAs corresponding amino acid is attached (by aminoacyl-tRNA synthetases). tRNAs cope with the degeneracy of the genetic code in two manners: having more than one tRNA (with a specific anti-codon) for a particular amino acid; and 'wobble' base-pairing, i.e. permitting non-standard base-pairing at the 3rd anti-codon position. The record is from Rfam by way of RNAcentral. Lineage: Eukaryota; Metazoa; Chordata; Mammalia; Rodentia; Heteromyidae.
GGUGGCUCAGUGGUAGAGUGCUUGCCUCACAAACAUGAUGCCCUGGGUUCGAUUCCUCAGCACCA